UACGAAGGGGGCUAGCGUUGUUCGGAAUUACUGGGCGUAAAGCGCACGCAGGCGGAUUGAUAAGUCGGGUGUGAAAUCUCGGGGCUUAACUCCGAAACUGCAUUCGAUACUGCCGUGCUUGAGGACUGGAGAGGAGACUGGAAUUUACGGUGUAGCGGUGAAAUGCGUAGAUAUCGUAAGGAAGACCAGUGGCGAAGGCGGGUCUCUGGACAGUUCCUGACGCUGAGGCACGAAGGCCAGGGGAGCAAACGGG
RNAcentral lists this ribosomal RNA (253 nucleotides) under uncultured bacterium. RNAcentral describes it as "partial 16S ribosomal RNA". It matches the Rfam family "Bacterial small subunit ribosomal RNA", at positions 524 to 776 of the family's 1533-position model. The record is from RNAcentral.